Molecule: long non-coding RNA, 519 nt
Organism: Poecilia latipinna (sailfin molly)
Lineage: Eukaryota; Metazoa; Chordata; Actinopteri; Cyprinodontiformes; Poeciliidae
Exons: 3
Source: RefSeq, a predicted model, not a curated record
ACAAUGCACUUGUGCGCUGUGCGCUUUUGGCUGUGCGUAAGAGGAGGAGGAGCUGGCAGCAGAUACACGUUCUGGGUGUGUCUCAGUGUGACGGUCAGGCAGUAGGACGGAUCUACUCUCUGUCUUCAUGGCUGUUCUCUGGGUUUUGAUGGACCUUUCUUUUCUCUAAACAUUAGACGCGGUUUUGCGAUCUGCCUCAUAAACUCACACACACCGUGAGUCCUUGUGCACCACGCAGAUGACGCCAUCCGCCCUGUCGGAGGUAAAAAGUUUUCUGCCUCAGUGCGGAGGGAGGAGUUUAAUCAGUCGCGCAUGACGCCAAAGCGAAACUAAAACAUUUUAUAGAGGAGUCCAGAUGUUCCUCAUAUUGUUCCUGAUCUUCUGCUGCCUCUCCUCCUCCUCCUCUCAGGAUGAAGAUGAUCUCCCUGCUGCUCCUCAUCCUCGGCUCUUCUUCCACUUCCAGGACCCGAUCCUUACCUGCUCUGUUUGUUUGCAAUAAACUCAUUUAUUUAUACAUCA